RNAcentral lists this ribosomal RNA (253 nucleotides) under uncultured bacterium. Its description in RNAcentral is "partial 16S ribosomal RNA". It matches the Rfam family "Bacterial small subunit ribosomal RNA", at positions 524 to 776 of the family's 1533-position model. The record is from RNAcentral.
UACGAAGGGGGCUAGCGUUGUUCGGAAUCACUGGGCGUAAAGCGCACGCAGGCGGAUUGAUAAGUCAGGGGUGAAAUCCCGAGGCUCAACCUCGGAAUUGCCUUUGAUACUGCAAGUCUCGAGUCCGAUAGAGGUGAGUGGAAUUCCUAGUGUAGAGGUGAAAUUCGUAGAUAUCGGGAGGAACACCAGUGGCGAAGGCGGCGACCUGGGCCAAUAUUGACGCUGAGGUGCGAAAGCGUGGGGAGCAAACAGG